CGAGAGGGCGCGGGAGGCGGUGCUAGGGCCGGCAGCCCUAGCUUAGCCCGGCCCAGCCCUACCCUAUUGGGGGCAGGGAGAGUCUUCCCCCCUAGAGAGAAGGCUAAAGAAGAUGAAUUCCCCACCCACUCUUUCCGGACCUUUCUUUCCCACUCCCUCCCCACGAAACAAACCAGAGCCCAGAAAGAAGCAUGAUUUCACCGGGCGCUUUAAAUGUAGAAAGUGUCUGAAAUCCACACCCCCGUCCCCUUACACAUCCCGGGUUCCUCCAGAUGCUGUAUCCCACAGCUUCCUCCCCGCCCCCAAACAAGUUCUUACUGGGCGGCUCUCUGGCGCCGUCUCCGAAAUGAGCUCACUGCACCUCGAGGGACCUCGACUCCUUAUAACGACUUGGGAGUGA
This 400-nucleotide long non-coding RNA is filed under the name Phascolarctos cinereus (koala). RNAcentral describes it as "lncRNA (ENSPCIG00000034805.1)". Lineage: Eukaryota; Metazoa; Chordata; Mammalia; Diprotodontia; Phascolarctidae. The record is from RNAcentral.